GAUGAACGCUGGCGGCGUGCCUAAUACAUGCAAGUCGAGCGAACGGACGAGAAGCUUGCUUCUCUGAUGUUAGCGGCGGACGUGUGAGUAACACGUGGAUAACCUACCUAUAAGACUGGGAUCACUUCGGGAAACCGGAGCUAAUACCGGAUGAUAUUUUGAACCGCAUGGUUCAAAAGUGAUAUACGGUCUUGCUGUCACUUAUAGAUGGAUCCGCGCUGCAUUAGCUAGUUGGUAAGGUAACGGCUUACCAAGGCAACGAUGCAUAGCCGACCUGAGAGGGUGAUCGGCCACACUGGAACUGAGACACGGUCCAGACUCCUACGGGAGGCAGCAGUAGGGAAGCUUCCGCAAUGGGCGAAAGCCUGACGGAGCAACGCCGCGUGAGUGAUGAAGGUCUUCGGAUCGUAAAACUCUGUUAUUAGGGAAGAACAUAUGUGUAAGUAACUGUGCACAUCUUGACGGUACCUAAUCAGAAAGCCACGGCUAACUACGUG
RNAcentral lists this ribosomal RNA (497 nucleotides) under uncultured bacterium. Its description in RNAcentral is "partial 16S ribosomal RNA". It matches the Rfam family "Bacterial small subunit ribosomal RNA", at positions 28 to 507 of the family's 1533-position model. The record is from RNAcentral.